GACGAACGCUGGCGGCGUGCUUAACACAUGCAAGUCGAGCGGUAAGGCCCUUUCGGGGGUACGACGAGCGGCGAACGGGUGAGUAACACGUGGGUGACCUGCCCUCAGCUCUGGGAUAAGCCCGGGAAACCGGGUCUAAUACUGGAUAUGACUCCAUGACGCAUGUUGUGGGGUGGAAAGCCUUGUGCGGCUGAGGAUGGGCCCGCGGCCUAUCAGCUUGUUGGUGGGGUGAUGGCCUACCAAGGCGACGACGGGUAGCCGGCCUGAGAGGGCGACCGGCCACACUGGGACUGAGACACGGCCCAGACUCCUACGGGAGGCAGCAGUGGGGAAUCUUGCGCAAUGGGCGAAAGCCUGACGCAGCGACGCCGCGUGAGGGAUGACGGCCU
RNAcentral lists this ribosomal RNA (389 nucleotides) under uncultured bacterium. Its description in RNAcentral is "bacterial SSU rRNA". It matches the Rfam family "Bacterial small subunit ribosomal RNA", at positions 28 to 417 of the family's 1533-position model. The record is from RNAcentral.